CCAAGGAGUCUAACAUGUGCGCGAGUCAUUGGGACCGCAAAACCUAAAGGCGUAAUGAAAGUGAAGGUCGACCUUGCGUCGACUGAGGGAGGAUGGGCUGCGUCACGAUGCAGCCCCGCACUCCCGGGGCGUCUCGUACUCAUUGCGAGUAGAGGCGCACCCAGAGCGUACACGUUGGGACCCGAAAGAUGGUGAACUAUGCCUGGUCAGGACGAAGUCAGGGGAAACCCUGAUGGAGGUCCGUAGCGAUUCUGACGUGCAAAUCGAUCGUCGGAACUGGGUAUAGGGGCGAAAGACUAAUCGAACCAUCUAGUAGCUGGUUCCCUCCGAAGUUUCCCUCAGGAUAGCUGGCACUCGCGUGAGCGAGUCUCAUCUGGUAAAGCGAAUGAUUAGAGGCCUUGGGGCCGAAACGACCUCAACCUAUUCUCAAACUUUAAAUGGGUGAGAUCUCUGGCUUGCUUAAACAGUGAAGCCACGAGAUUUCGGAUCAGAGUGCCAAGUGGGCCAAUUUU
Molecule: ribosomal RNA, 512 nt
Filed under: Dryocosmus quercuspalustris
Lineage: Eukaryota; Metazoa; Arthropoda; Insecta; Hymenoptera; Cynipidae
Description: eukaryotic LSU rRNA
Rfam family: Eukaryotic large subunit ribosomal RNA
Source: RNAcentral